This 254-nucleotide ribosomal RNA is filed under the name uncultured bacterium. RNAcentral describes it as "partial 16S ribosomal RNA". It matches the Rfam family "Bacterial small subunit ribosomal RNA", at positions 524 to 776 of the family's 1533-position model. The record is from RNAcentral.
UACAGAGGGUGCGAGCGUUGUCCGGAAUCACUGGGCGUAAAGGGCGCGUAGGCGGACGGUUCAAGUCGGGGGUGAAAGCCCGGGGCUCAACCUCGGAAUUGCCUUCGAUACUGGCUGUCUUGAGUGUGAGAGAGGUGUAUGGAACUCCGAGUGUAGAGGUGAAAUUCGUAGAUAUUCGGAAGAACACCAGUGGCGAAGGCGACACACUGGCUCACUACUGACGCUGAGGCGCGAAAGCGUGGGGAGCAAACAGG